GAGUUUGAUCGUGGCUCAGAUUGAACGCUGGCGGCAUGCCUUACACAUGCAAGUCGAACGGCAGCAUGAUCUAGCUUGCUAGAUUGAUGGCGAGUGGCGAACGGGUGAGUAAUACAUCGGAACGUGCCCUGUAGUGGGGGAUAACUAGUCGAAAGAUUAGCUAAUACCGCAUACGACCUGAGGGUGAAAGUGGGGGACCGCAAGGCCUCAUGCUAUAGGAGCGGCCGAUGUCUGAUUAGCUAGUUGGUGAGGUAAAGGCUCACCAAGGCGACGAUCAGUAGCUGGUCUGAGAGGACGAUCAGCCACACUGGGACUGAGACACGGCCCAGACUCCUACGGGAGGCAGCAGUGGGGAAUUUUGGACAAUGGGCGAAAGCCUGAUCCAGCAAUGCCGCGUGUGUGAAGAAGGCCU
This 412-nucleotide ribosomal RNA is filed under the name uncultured beta proteobacterium. Its description in RNAcentral is "bacterial SSU rRNA". It matches the Rfam family "Bacterial small subunit ribosomal RNA", at positions 9 to 417 of the family's 1533-position model. The record is from RNAcentral. Lineage: Bacteria; Pseudomonadati; Pseudomonadota; Betaproteobacteria.